AACGCAAAUUGCGCUCGAGGCUUCGGCCAAGAGCAUGUCUGCCUCAGCGUCGGGUUAAUACUCACUCUUGCUUCUCGCGAGCAGUAGUGGAUCUGGCUGUCUCGGUUUUAAAAAUUAAAACAUUUAAACCCGGGUCAGCUGAAGUUUUUAGAUGUCAAACCAUGGACCGCCGUUUUAAAAGACGGGGGCCUCUACUGGGUAGGCGAAUUUAUUUGCUAAAAUGCUUUAGUAGAUGGCUUUUAGGUUUUGUGUUUGGCACAAAGCAGGAAUAUUUGUUCGCAAGUAUUAAACCCUUUAUUUUCUCGACCUGAGCUCAGGCAAGAUUACCCGCUGAACUUAA
This 340-nucleotide unclassified non-coding RNA is filed under the name uncultured fungus. RNAcentral's name for it is "partial contains 5.8S rRNA and ITS2". Lineage: Eukaryota; Fungi. The record is from RNAcentral.